RNAcentral lists this small RNA (52 nucleotides) under Sinorhizobium meliloti 2011. Its description in RNAcentral is "putative ncRNA". The record is from RNAcentral. Lineage: Bacteria; Pseudomonadati; Pseudomonadota; Alphaproteobacteria; Hyphomicrobiales; Rhizobiaceae.
GCUUGGGCGCACCGCUGUGCUUGCGCCGAAAGUGAAAUGUCGAGGAUGAUUU